RNAcentral lists this long non-coding RNA (729 nucleotides) under Homo sapiens (human). Its description in RNAcentral is "non-protein coding lnc-SLC15A1-4:1". The record is from RNAcentral. Lineage: Eukaryota; Metazoa; Chordata; Mammalia; Primates; Hominidae.
AUGGCAGAGCAAGAGCAAAGAAAAAUCCCUUUGGUUCUAGAAAAUCUGAAAAAGAGGAAGGCUUAUCAAGCCCUCAAAGCCACUCAGGCAAAGCAGGCACUUUUAGCAAAGAAGGAGCAGAAGAAAGGAAAACAGCUCAGGUUUAAGCGACUGGAAUCAUUCCUAUAUGAUUCCUCGUGGCAGAAACACGACAAGCUGCAUCUCAGACAACUAGAAGUGAAACCUCAUGCCUUGGAAUUGCCAGAUAAACAUUCCUUGGCCUUUGUUUUACGCAUCCAAAGAAUUAAUGGUGUGACUUCACUGGUGCAGAGAACCAUUGCAAGACUUUGCCUGAAGAAAAUUUUCAGUGGUAUCUUUGUAAAAGUCACCCCAAAGAGCCUAAAAUGUUGCUUAUAGUAGAACCUUAUGUGAACUGGGGAUUUCCAAUCUAAAGUCUGUCCAAGAACUCAUUUUGAAACAUGAACAAGCCAAGGUCAAGAAUGAGACCAUCCCUCUGACAGACAGCACAGCAAUUGAGGAGCACCUGGGGGAGUUUGGUGUCAUUUGCCUGGGAGACCUCAUACAUGAAAUUGCCUUCCCAGGGAAGUAUUUCCAGGAGAUCUCAUGGGUCUUGCACCCUUUCCACCUCUCGGUGGCCCAUCAUGCUACCAAGAAUAGAGUGGGCUUCCUCAAGGAGAUGGCCUCACCUGGGGUGAACACAUCAAUCAGCUCAUCCACCAGCUGAACCCA